Molecule: small nuclear RNA, 103 nt
Organism: Vicugna pacos (alpaca)
Lineage: Eukaryota; Metazoa; Chordata; Mammalia; Artiodactyla; Camelidae
Source: RefSeq, a predicted model, not a curated record
UCGCUUAGGCAGCACGUAUACUAAAAAUGGAACAAUACAGAAAAGAUUAGCAUGGUCCCAGCCAAAGGAUGACACACAAAUUUGUGAAGUAUUCCAUGUUUUU